AAUACGAAGGGUGAAAUCGUCAA
RNAcentral lists this small nuclear RNA (23 nucleotides) under Arabidopsis thaliana (thale cress). RNAcentral describes it as "snRNA_01237". The record is from RNAcentral. Lineage: Eukaryota; Viridiplantae; Streptophyta; Magnoliopsida; Brassicales; Brassicaceae.